GACGAACGCUGGCGGUGUGCUUAACACAUGCAAGUCGAACGGUAAGGCCCUUUCGGGGGUACACGAGUGGCGAACGGGUGAGUAACACGUGAGUAACCUGCCCUCAUCUCUGGGAUAACAGUCGGAAACGGUUGCUAAUACUGGAUAUGAGCUUGCAAGGCAUCUUGUGGGUUGGAAAGAUUUUUUUUGUUGGGGAUGGACUCGCGGCCUAUCAGCUUGUUGGUGAGGUAGUGGCUCACCAAGGCUUCGACGGGUAGCCGGCCUGAGAGGGCGACCGGCCACAUUGGGACUGAGAUACGGCCCAAACUCCUACGGGAGGCAGCAGUGGGGAAUAUUGCACAAUGGACGGAAGUCUGAUGCAGCAACGCCGCGGGCGGGAUGACGGCCUUCGGGUUGUAAACCGCUUUCAAUUGUGACGAAGCUUUUUGUGACGGUAGCAGUAGAAGAAGCACCGGCUAACUACGUG
Molecule: ribosomal RNA, 466 nt
Filed under: uncultured bacterium
Lineage: Bacteria
Description: partial 16S ribosomal RNA
Rfam family: Bacterial small subunit ribosomal RNA
Source: RNAcentral